This 65-nucleotide transfer RNA is filed under the name Cherax boesemani. RNAcentral's name for it is "tRNA-Ser". It matches the Rfam family "tRNA". Rfam says of the family: Transfer RNA (tRNA) molecules are approximately 80 nucleotides in length. Their secondary structure includes four short double-helical elements and three loops (D, anti-codon, and T loops). Further hydrogen bonds mediate the characteristic L-shaped molecular structure. tRNAs have two regions of fundamental functional importance: the anti-codon, which is responsible for specific mRNA codon recognition, and the 3' end, to which the tRNAs corresponding amino acid is attached (by aminoacyl-tRNA synthetases). tRNAs cope with the degeneracy of the genetic code in two manners: having more than one tRNA (with a specific anti-codon) for a particular amino acid; and 'wobble' base-pairing, i.e. permitting non-standard base-pairing at the 3rd anti-codon position. Lineage: Eukaryota; Metazoa; Arthropoda; Malacostraca; Decapoda; Parastacidae. The record is from RNAcentral.
GGAUAUUUAGUUUAUUUAAAACAAAUGUUUUGAAAGCAUUAAAAGGAAAUUCUUUCCAGUCUCCG